Molecule: RNA transcript, 2087 nt
Organism: Zea mays
Lineage: Eukaryota; Viridiplantae; Streptophyta; Magnoliopsida; Poales; Poaceae
Exons: 5
Source: RefSeq, marked validated
AGGGCGCAAAAAAAGACGCAAGGCAGUUUGUUGGGUCCUUAGUAAGCAAAAAGGCUUCCUGUCUCAUCCAAUGUGCUAAUAAAACCCCACACGGAAAAGAUAGAGAGAAACAGAUUGCCUAGCUUAAACCUUGAGUGUUCUCUUCCUCUCAAACAAUCAAACCAACUAAGCCAGCUGCAAUCUUCUCUGUCUAAUCAACUUCAUCGUUGUUUCAUACAGGUAACCAGUGCCAAAAUGAUUGCUGGGGGAGGCUAUUUUGAUGGUUCUCAUGACCAUAUUCUCAUGGAAGGAUCAAUGAUCCAUGAUUCUUCACAAUCUUCCAUCUAUGACAAUACAGAUGUUGAACAGCAGAACUUCAGAUUUGCGCCCUUUAUCAUAGAAGAUCACUCCAAUCCAGCCAACCUUACCUCUGAGGCUGCAAGGGUGAUAGACCAAAUUCAACACCAGCUGGGGAUUGACAUCGAGCAGGACCAUAGUGAUCACAUGAUGCAAGAAGUUCCUCCAGCAGAAACUGAAAAUUUGGUUCCUGCUGUCUAUGGUGUUCAAGAUCAUAUCCUUAGCCACCAGAUAGAAGGUCCGCAUAACAUAACUGUGGAACAACAGGUCCUGGGCUAUGACCCUGCAUCAUAUCGAAAUGGCACUUAUGCAGCUGCACAUGAUCUUCUAAAUUCUCUACAUAUCCAAAGGUGCAGUUUGAUUCCUGAAUUUCCUUCCACAGAACAUAUCUUUAGUGAUCCAGCACAGAACAUGGUCAACAGGUUGGACAUUACAAAUGAUCUUCCAGGAGUAGCAAAUCAUGAAAGUGGAAUGAUGUUCAGCGAUUCAACUGUACCGUUAGGCUAUCAUGCAACUCAAUCUCAUAUGUUGAAGGAUCUCUAUCAUUCACUACCACAAAACUAUGGGUUAUUUACCAGUGAUGAUGAGAGAGAUGGAAUGGUCGGGGUACCAGGGGUCUCAGGAAAUAUUUUCCAGGAGAUAGAUGGGAGGCAGUUCGACAGCCCAAUACUGGGGAGUAGAAAGCAGAAAGGUGGAUUUGGCAAAGGCAAAGGAAAAGCUAACUUUGCAACUGAAAGAGAGAGGAGGGAGCAGUUUAAUGUGAAGUAUGGGGCUUUAAGGUCACUGUUCCCAAACCCUACUAAGAAUGACAGGGCCUCUAUAGUUGGAGAUGCCAUUGAAUACAUCAAUGAGCUUAAUAGAACAGUGAAAGAACUGAAGAUCCUACUUGAAAAGAAGAGGAACAGCGCUGACAGGAGGAAGAUACUGAAGUUGGAUGAGGAGGCAGCUGAUGAUGGGGAAAGUUCUUCAAUGCAGCCAGUGAGUGAUGAUCAAAACAAUCAGAUGAAUGGGACUAUAAGGAGCUCCUGGGUUCAAAGGAGGUCCAAGGAGUGUGACGUUGAUGUCCGCAUAGUCGAUGAUGAAAUAAAUAUCAAAUUCACAGAGAAGAAGAGAGCCAACUCUUUGCUUUGUGCUGCAAAGGUUCUAGAGGAGUUUCAUCUUGAGCUCAUCCAUGUUGUUGGGGGAAUCAUUGGAGAUCACCAUAUAUUCAUGUUCAAUACAAAGAUACCUAAGGGCUCUUCUGUGUACGCAUGCGCGGUGGCCAAGAAGCUCCUCGAAGCUGUGGAGAUAAAGAAGCAGGCUUAUAAUAUCUUCAACUAGACAUACCAAUCAUAAUGUUUAUCCAGACAACUUAGCAUGCUGGUCUGCUCUUUAGCAUCUAAUAAGGAUGAUCGUGGUGGGUUUCUCACUUUCUCCUACAAUCACACACUCACAAUGCGGAUGACGUCUGGAGAUCUACGAGGUACCUUAAGUCCUGGGGGAAUCAAUUUGGCCAGCCACACCCGUAUUAGUCAAGAUCGCCGUGAUUGCAGAGGCUGAUGAACUGGAGCAGGACUGCAGGCGUAGUAGCUGAUCCGAACACAAAUAAUCAUUCCACUCCACUCUUGUACCUGAUCCCGCAGAUCUCCAGUGCAGUGUGGAGACUCAAUUCACUGCCCUAGUCAUCUGGAAUGCUGUAUGGUCUUUAAUGUGGCGGAGUUGCUGAAUCCACACGUGUAGUGCCAAUGUUUAAACUAUUCACAUCAGUCACA